UACGUAGGUGGCAAGCGUUAUCCGGAUUUACUGGGUGUAAAGGGCGCGUAGGCGGGAAUGCAAGUCAGAUGUGAAAUCUCCGGGCUUAACCCGGAAACUGCAUUUGAAACUGCAUUUCUUGAGUGUCGGAGAGGUAGAUGGAAUUCCUAGUGUAGCGGUGAAAUGCGUAGAUAUUAGGAGGAACACCAGUGGCGAAGGCGAUCUACUGGACGAUAACUGACGCUGAGGCGCGAAAGCGUGGGGAGCAAAC
This 250-nucleotide ribosomal RNA is filed under the name uncultured bacterium. RNAcentral describes it as "partial 16S ribosomal RNA". It matches the Rfam family "Bacterial small subunit ribosomal RNA", at positions 524 to 773 of the family's 1533-position model. The record is from RNAcentral.